AGGGAAUCUUCCACAAUGGACGAAAGUCUGAUGGAGCAACGCCGCGUGAGUGAAGAAGGUUUUAGGAUCGUAAAACUCUGUUGUUGGAGAAGAACAGGGACUAGAGUAACUGUUAGUCCUUUGACGGUAUCCAACCAGAAAGCCACGGCUAACUACGUGCCAGCAGCCGCGGUAAUACGUAGGUGGCAAGCGUUGUCCGGAUUUAUUGGGCGUAAAGCGAGCGCAGGCGGUUUUUUAAGUCUGAUGUGAAAGCCUUCGGCUUAACCGAAGAAGUGCAUUAGAAACUGGGAAACUUGAGUGCAGAAGAGGACAGUGGAACUCCAUGUGUAGCGGUGAAAUGCGUAGAUAUAUGGAAGAACACCAGUGGCGAAGGCGGCUGUCUGGUCUGUAACUGACGCUGAGGCUCGAAAGUAUGGGGAGCGAAC
Molecule: ribosomal RNA, 425 nt
Filed under: uncultured bacterium
Lineage: Bacteria
Description: bacterial SSU rRNA
Rfam family: Bacterial small subunit ribosomal RNA
Source: RNAcentral